RNAcentral lists this long non-coding RNA (2222 nucleotides) under Ananas comosus (pineapple). Its description in RNAcentral is "long non-coding RNA (ACOM_LNC010509)". Lineage: Eukaryota; Viridiplantae; Streptophyta; Magnoliopsida; Poales; Bromeliaceae. The record is from RNAcentral.
CGGGCAGCUUUCUACUUGUAUCUUUCUGUGUUUCUUCACGCACGCUUAUUCUUGUAUCUUUCGGCUUAAAGCCUCACGGCAACUUGGUCACAUCUGUAGACCCCUCAUCUUGUAACACAAAUAGGGUAAAUCCCUGUUUACUCAAAAAAAAAUAAUUUUCACCAACUAUUGUUAAAAGGCUUGCGCCCUAUGAUUUAAAGGAAAAUACAUAUACGUAUAGCACUAAUUAAGUGUAGUUAUAUGAAUAUUGAAUGAAAUUAUAUUAAAAGGAGUAGAUCAAAUCAUAUAAAAAAUGGAUAAAAUCAAAUGAAAAUACGAGAUAUAAUACAAUAUUAAAGGGUUCGAAUACAGUACAAAAACAUAAGCUAGUAGAUCAAGAAAUUGCUAACAUUACAUGCAAAAAAAAGGGCUUAGUACACUAUAAAAGCUAUUUUUUGAAAAUUAAAAUAGCUAGUCACUCUAGAUCAAAAUAUAAAAGGCAUUUUUUUAUAAUUUUUCGAACUUAUUUGAAUAGUGUUUACCCAUUAAAUUAACAACUCUGUCAAAUCAAACGUUAAAUUUGAGGUGACUUGAUAAAUGAGGAGAAUAUAGUAAAAUUUCAUAAAUUUUGGUUUGUGGUAAUAUCAAAUAUUCUAAAAUAUGUCUAAUGAUUUCGAUCGUCAAAUCAAACUCUUUAAAAUUGAUUUUGAGAAGAACAAGGUCCAACUCAAAUGUGAGGCCACGCAUUAUAUCACCGGAUGAUCUUAGACAGUUAUGUGAUUGGGCUGACUAGAAUGUCAUCGCGUAAAUAGGUGGAGUGAUACUAUAAAUAGUACCAUAUAGGAUAGGAACGAAAUUAUGAUGAAAUAUAUAAAGGCUAAAUUACAGAAAACCUCCCUGUAAUAACUUGCUUUUUCACUUCUCUCCCCUGACAUUUAAAAACCUACACUUUGCCCCCCUGUAAAAUGAGAAAUAUUCACAGGAGGGUUACGGUGUGUAAAAUGACCAUUUUGCCCCUCGCCAUUGUCGUCUUCUUUCCCAUCUUCCUCAGCCGCCCCUUCAUUCGGCCGCGAUUCCCACCUCAAUCGGCCGCAAUUUCUCUCCAUUUCCUUCUCUACCUGCUUCCCUUCUCCUCCUGCACCCUCGCCGCCCUCGAUUUCGGCGACAGUAGGAGAAAACCGAGGUGGGCGACAGUAGGAGAAGGGCAAAGAAGGCGAAGGCGAGGCGGCGGAGGACGGCGAAGGGGAUGUGGGUGAGGGCGAGGCAGUGGAGGACGGUGAGGCGGCUAGGCGGCGAGGCGGCGAGGCGACGGCGAGGUGGCGAGCCGGAGGGAGUCGAAGCAACAGGGAGAUGGCAGAGGGGUAUUUUCGGUAUAAAAAUAUAUUUUUUAAUGGAACCCUGACGGAAUUCUAACGGUAGGGGGUGAAGUGCACAUUUUUUAUUUUACAGGGGGGCAAAGUGUAGAUUUUUAAAUAUCAGGGAGGGAAAGUGAAAAAGCAAGUUAUUAUAAGGGGAUUUUCUGUAAUUUAGCCAUAUAUAAAUGACUAUGGACUCUAUUAAUAAUAAUUAAAUUUAAGUAUUUGUGCCGGUAAUUUAGACUUAAUAAAUUAUUAUUAUUAGCGAGUUGGACGUUACCUCAAAUUUUCUCAAAAGGUUGACUAAAUUUCAAGAAAAUGUGCAAUAAAAUAGAAUAUCUAUUAUUUUUUUUAAAGGAGGACUACUAAAGGCAUGGUGUGCAUCACGAUCGGAGCUUUACCUUUUAGCGGCAAUUUAAUGGUGGCAAUUUUUGAACAGCCUCCUCCUCCGAGAGCGCGGCGGCGUCGUCGUCGGCGGCGGCGCUCCGACGACCUCCCUCCGCCGCCACAUGCCAAUGACAGGGUCGGUGCUCCGCUAGGCGCCAAGGGCUGGGCCGACGAACCCGGGUUUCACUGGUGGAAGGAUAAAGAGGCCGAGAUCCUCAGCGACAUCGAGCCCAUCAUCGCCCGGGUUUGGUUAUUGUUUUCGUUUUGGAAUCUUGGCUCUAUUCUCUGCUACUAUUUGAGGAUCCUCUGCUUGCUUGUCUCUUCCCUUUUGCUAUGUAGGAAAGCUGAAAGAGAUCACAUUCUAGAAAAUUUGUAUUUGACCUGGCUCUGUUAUAUGCAUCUUUCACUUGAUCCAUAUUUAUACAAGCAAUUACAUACCUCAGUCUCACAUUUGUUCCAUUAUAGGAUUCACAAGGCAUCUUAAUAGAAGAGAACUCAAAU